AACCUUAUAGUAAAAUUGAAAUAAUCUACAGGUAGAAAAAGAAGUUUGUCGUAAUGAUAAAUCAUCACGAAAUGCAACAAGCGUUGGGAUUUUCAUCGCUAAAAAGCUGAGGAGCAGGCGGCAUUUGCUCGAUAACGUAAAGGGGCUGGUAAUAGUAAAUCAUUCUCUUCAUGGUUUCCUCCUCGUUACCAUGAUUGCCACUAUUUUCCUCUGCUUCUGCAGAUCCUUCUUUCUUCCCUUCUUCUUUGUUUUCACCUUCUUCAGGGGACUUUUCUUCUUUUUUCUCUGCGUUUUCUUCAGGUUUGGCUUCUUCGGUCGGCUUCUCUUCGCCCUCUUUCUUUUCUUCUUGUUUCUCUGGCUCAGGUUGAGGCUCAGGCUCUGGUUGAGGCACGAUCCUUGCCUGUUUUUUCGUGCGUCUAUAUACAUAAUCCACUAGCUUGUUUGCAUCCAUGGUGCCCGUCACUGUAACUUUUCCUGUGCUAUGCUCUGUUACGGCAGUCUGUACGCCUGUAACAUGUGUCCAUUAAACAACAUCAAUCAUCCCUAAUGAAUUUUUGGGUAAAUUAUACCCAAAGUUAAUAAACUAGUAGUAAGUUUAUGUUUUGAAUAUUUAACUUCAAAAAGCUACAAAAUGAGUAUUGAACUAUUCAAAUGUUUUCAUUUAAGUCACUGGCUUGUACCGGCUGCACCAAUCAAAAGCUCUUAAUCCCAUUUCUCUUUGAUAGUUCAUUUAUUUUCAUGAAACAACUUUGGUCAUCACAAAUCUAUGAUCCAAAAUCUAAAAAACUUUCUUGUCCAAUCUCCUACACUAGCCGUCAAAAGACUUAGAUCUAAGGUAUAUUCUUCUACUCAUCAAUGGGUACUGAUCUAUCGUAUUGAUCGUUAAAUCGUCGCUUGAAACUCACUAACCGAACUUAAAAAAACACACUUAACAACCCAGUAACUUAAAUAAAAACUUUUAAAUAAUUCAGUAACUUAAAUGAAAAUUUUCAAAUAGUUCAGUAACCAUUUUGUAUCCUUUUAAAGUUAUAUUCAAAUUUAUCAAACCUUGGAUGUAAUUUACUAAGUGCUUGUCACGUUGGAAAGGCCCCACCACCGCCAUUGUCUGCCUAAUAUGGAAUUCCUUUUCUGUCUUAUAUUUCUUUAGUUUCCCAUUCAGUUGGUCAAUCACACUCAUAAAUUAUCAUCUAGCUUUUUGCGGUUAAGUGGCAAAAGGGUACGGUUGUUGAAUUGGCAUGAAACUUAACCAACAUUAUACC
Molecule: long non-coding RNA, 1259 nt
Filed under: Gossypium barbadense (sea-island cotton)
Lineage: Eukaryota; Viridiplantae; Streptophyta; Magnoliopsida; Malvales; Malvaceae
Description: long non-coding RNA (GBAR_LNC023380)
Source: RNAcentral